UUUAACGUUGCGAGGGAGGACGGCAAAGCAGCGCGGGGACAGAUCCGUCCCUUCUGCGUGUGCCUGUGUGGGCAGGGCACGUCCUCCUUGCGCUGGCACCGCUCGCGCGGAAGAGCGAGCUGGAAUUCUCGCCACUUCCGAACUCCGGGAUUCCUCCAGACUUUCUCUGAAACCUGACAAGCUACUGCCUUGGUACCCGGAGCACAGAGAAAGGUGACACGAAAGCCCGAGCCCGAAGGGGAGCAGAGGGACGGCCGCCGGCC
This 263-nucleotide long non-coding RNA is filed under the name Dromaius novaehollandiae (emu). Its description in RNAcentral is "lncRNA (ENSDNVG00000012939.1)". The record is from RNAcentral. Lineage: Eukaryota; Metazoa; Chordata; Aves; Casuariiformes; Dromaiidae.